GACGAACGCUGGCGGCGUGCUUAACACAUGCAAGUCGAACGGAAAGGCCCUGCUUUUGUGGGGUGCUCGAGUGGCGAACGGGUGAGUAACACGUGAGUAACCUGCCCUUGACUUUGGGAUAACUUCAGGAAACUGGGGCUAAUACCGGAUAGGAGCUCCUGCUGCAUGGUGGGGGUUGGAAAGUUUCGGCGGUUGGGGAUGGACUCGCGGCUUAUCAGCUUGUUGGUGGGGUAGUGGCUUACCAAGGGUUUGACGGGUAGCCGGCCUGGGAGGGUGACCGGCCACAUUGGGACUGAGAGACGGCCCAGAGUGGUACGGGAGGCAGCAGUGGGGAAUAUUGCACAAUGGGCGGAAGCCUGAUGCAGCAACGCCGCGUGCGGGAUGACGGCCUUCGGGUUGUAAACCGCUUUCGCCUGUGACGCAGCGUGAGUGACGGUAAUGGAUAAAGAAGCACCGGCUAACUACGUG
Molecule: ribosomal RNA, 468 nt
Filed under: uncultured bacterium
Lineage: Bacteria
Description: partial 16S ribosomal RNA
Rfam family: Bacterial small subunit ribosomal RNA
Source: RNAcentral